Molecule: ribosomal RNA, 428 nt
Filed under: uncultured bacterium
Lineage: Bacteria
Description: partial 16S ribosomal RNA
Rfam family: Bacterial small subunit ribosomal RNA
Source: RNAcentral
GUGGGGAAUAUUGGGCAAUGGGCGCAAGCCUGACCCAGCAACGCCGCGUGAGGGAAGAAGGCUUUCGGGUUGUAAACCUCUGUCCUUGGUGACGAAAAAAAUGACGGUAGCCAAGGAGGAAGCCCCGGCUAACUACGUGCCAGCAGCCGCGGUAAUACGUAGGGGGCGAGCGUUGUCCGGAAUUACUGGGCGUAAAGGGUGCGUAGGUGGCCUUUUAAGUUGGAUGUGAAAUACCCGGGCUUAACUUGGGGGGUGCAUCCAAAACUGGGAGGCUAGAGUGCAGGAGAGGAAAGCGGAAUUCCUAGUGUAGCGGUGAAAUGCGUAGAUAUUAGGAGGAACACCAGUGGCGAAGGCGGCUUUCUGGACUGUAACUGACACUGAGGCACGAAAGCGUGGGGAGCAAACAGGAUUAGAAACCCCGGUAGUCC